ACGAUGAUUCCAGAUGGAAAAAAUGGAAAGGUAAUGUAAAAUGGAAUUUUAAAAAUAUCCAAAUAAUCUGAAAGAAGUCAUCAUAAGGAAACAGAAGAAUGAAAACAGCAGGGACAAUCAGAAAAACACGUAAUAAAACUAAUAUACCUUGUAAUGGUGGGCUUCAUCCAUGUGCUAGUUCAGCCUGUGAGAUGCUGGUGAGCCCACCUCCAGGCACUCACGGACUCCCCACCCAUUGAGUGUGGCCUGGAUUUAGUGACUCAAUCAAACGUGACAGAGUGCUGGGGUGUCAUUUUCAAGACUGGGUUAUGUGAAGACUGCAGCCUCCAUCUGGGGUGCUCUCUCUUGGAUUGCUUGCUCAGGGAUGUGGGGAGAGCUGCUGUGCUGGGAGGCUGCCCAUGUGAGUUGACUUGGAUGUGAACCUUCUGUGGCCUGCCAAUAGCCAGGUGUUUGUGUGGACACUGCUGUCAUUUCUCUUGGGAAGAUACUGAGGAGUCAGAUUGCUGGAUCCCGUGAAGAAGGUGCACCUGGGAUUGGCUCUUGCUUCCUAAGGAACCUCAAAAAAGCUGCAACCUAUUGGAGACUUUUGAUUCAGCAUCAAGGAUAUGCGUGAGACUUUGGUUCUUUUCUGUUGGGACACAGUUGAUUCUGACUGUCUUAAAGUUAGGCUUUUCUAAAGAUUUAGACUAAUAAAUUAUUUGAAUGGGACA
Molecule: long non-coding RNA, 710 nt
Filed under: Homo sapiens (human)
Lineage: Eukaryota; Metazoa; Chordata; Mammalia; Primates; Hominidae
Description: long non-coding RNA NONHSAT167232.1
Source: RNAcentral